CUACGGGGGGCUGCAGUCGAGAAUCUUCCUCAAUGCCCGCAAGGGUGAAGGAGCGACGCCGCGUGUUUGAAGACGCCCCUCGGGGUGUAAAGAACUUUUCUACUCGAAGAAGCUUUUAGCAGACGGUAGAGUAGGAAUAAGGACCUCCUAAUUUCGUGCCAGCAGGAGCGGUAAUACGAAAGGUCCAAGCGUUAUCCGGAUUUACUGGGCGUAAAGCGUCCGCAGGCGGCUAGAUAAGUUUUUGGUCAAAUUCCGAGGCUCAACUUCGGAGCUGCCAAAAAAACUGUCUAGCUAGAGGGUGGGAGAGGCGAGUGGAAUGGCUGGUGUAGGAGUCAAAUCCGUUAAUAUCAGCUGGAACACCGAAGGCGAAAGCAGCUCGCUGGAACACUCCUGACACUCAUGGACGAAAGCGUAGGUAGCGAAAGGGAUUAGAUACCCCGGUAGUC
Molecule: ribosomal RNA, 446 nt
Filed under: uncultured bacterium
Lineage: Bacteria
Description: partial 16S ribosomal RNA
Rfam family: Bacterial small subunit ribosomal RNA
Source: RNAcentral